This 566-nucleotide ribosomal RNA is filed under the name bacterium w3cc20. RNAcentral's name for it is "bacterial SSU rRNA". It matches the Rfam family "Bacterial small subunit ribosomal RNA", at positions 32 to 589 of the family's 1533-position model. The record is from RNAcentral.
GACGCUGGCGGCGGCUUAACACAUGCAAGUCGAGCGGUAACAGGGGGUGCUUGCACCCCGCUGACGAGCGGCGGACGGGUGAGUAAUGCAUAGGAAACUGCCCAGUAGUGGGGGAUAGCCCGGGGAAACCCGGAUUAAUACCGCGUACGCCCUUCGGGGGAAAGCAGGGGAUCUUCGGACCUUGCGCUAUUGGAUGUGCCUAUGUCGGAUUAGCUAGUUGGUGGGGUAAAGGCCUACCAAGGCGACGAUCCGUAGCUGGUCUGAGAGGAUGAUCAGCCACAUCGGGACUGAGACACGGCCCGAACUCCUACGGGAGGCAGCAGUGGGGAAUAUUGGACAAUGGGGGCAACCCUGAUCCAGCCAUGCCGCGUGUGUGAAGAAGGCUUUCGGGUUGUAAAGCACUUUCAGUGAGGAGGAAAACUCUGCGACUAAUACUCGUAGGGCUUGACGUUACUCACAGAAGAAGCACCGGCUAACUCCGUGCCAGCAGCCGCGGUAAUACGGAGGGUGCAAGCGUUAAUCCGGAAUUACUGGGCGUAAAGCGCGCGUAGGUGGUUUGAUAAGCG